This 469-nucleotide ribosomal RNA is filed under the name Sinorhizobium sp. AS015. Its description in RNAcentral is "bacterial SSU rRNA". It matches the Rfam family "Bacterial small subunit ribosomal RNA", at positions 928 to 1399 of the family's 1533-position model. Lineage: Bacteria; Pseudomonadati; Pseudomonadota; Alphaproteobacteria; Hyphomicrobiales; Rhizobiaceae. The record is from RNAcentral.
AGCACGGGGACUGUGGUUAUUCGAACACGCGCAGAACCUUACCAGCCCUUGACAUCCCGGUCGCGGACAGGAGAGAUCCUGUCCUUCAGUUCGGCUGGACCGGUGACAGGUGCUGCAUGGCUGUCGUCAGCUCGUGUCGUGAGAUGUUGGGUUAAGUCCCGCAACGAGCGCAACCCUCGCCCUUAGUUGCCAGCAUUUGGUUGGGCACUCUAAGGGGACUGCCGGUGAUAAGCCGAGAGGAAGGUGGGGAUGACGUCAAGUCCUCAUGGCCCUUACGGGCUGGGCUACACACGUGCUACAAUGGUGGUGACAGUGGGCAGCGAGACCGCGAGGUCGAGCUAAUCUCCAAAAACCAUCUCAGUUCGGAUUGCACUCUGCAACUCGGGUGCAUGAAGUUGGAAUCGCUAGUAAUCGUGGAUCAGCAUGCCACGGUGAAUACGUUCCCGGGCCUUGUACACACCGCCCGUAA